GGUUGAUCCUGCCAGUAGUCAUAUGCUUGUCUCAAAGAUUAAGCCAUGCAUGUCUCAGUACAAGCCAAAUUAAGGUGAAACCGCGAAAGGCUCAUUAAAUCAGUUAUGGUUCCUUAGAUCGUACCCACAAUUACUUGGAUAACUGUGGUAAUUCUAGAGCUAAUACAUGCAAACAGAGCUCUUACCGGAGACGGAAGGAGUGCUUUUAUUAGAUCAAAACCAAUCGGUGGCGGGCUCGCUCGUCAUCGUACAACUUGGUGACUCUGAAUAACUUUACGCUGAUCGCACGGUCACCGCACCGGCGACGCAUCUUUCAAAUGUCUGCCUUAUCAACUGUCGAUGGUAGGUUCUGCGCCUACCAUGGUUGUAACGGGUAACGGGGAAUCAGGGUUCGAUUCCGGAGAGGGAGCCUGAGAAACGGCUACCACAUCCAAGGAAGGCAGCAGGCGCGCAAAUUACCCACUCCCGGCACGGGGAGGUAGUGACGAAAAAUAACGAUACGGGACUCAUCCGAGGCCCCGUAAUCGGAAUGAGUACACUC
RNAcentral lists this ribosomal RNA (541 nucleotides) under Hypsophorus dromedarius. RNAcentral describes it as "SSU rRNA". It matches the Rfam family "Eukaryotic small subunit ribosomal RNA", at positions 6 to 525 of the family's 1831-position model. The record is from RNAcentral. Lineage: Eukaryota; Metazoa; Arthropoda; Insecta; Coleoptera; Curculionidae.